GCGCUCCCCUCCAGAGCCGCCCCGCCCUGCUUCAUCAGCUUCUUGAACUUGGAGCGCUUGUUCUGGAACCAGAUCUUGACCUGCAAGAGCGGACAGCAGCAUGACUCAGGCUAGGUCCAUUGUGCCUAUCAUGGUCCUGGGGAGAUAAGGUGACAGUGGGACAGCGAGAGAGGAUGUCCCUUACCGCCCUGGGAGAAGGGACAACUCGCAGCUGGGGGAACAGACCACCACCACCACCAAUAAGAACCUGGCGGCAGGGGCAGCUCUCCUAGAGCCAGGGGGCGUGGUGGUAAGGGGUGAGAGGGGAUCUAGGCCUUCUCCUGCCAGGGACUCAGCCCAACCUUGGCUGGCAAUCCUCUGGGGAAGACGCAGGGCCUGCACAAUAUAGAGCCUUCAAUUCCAGGAUGAGCAUCAAUAAAAGAAUCGAGUGGAGAAAAGGAGUGGAGGACACUUAUUUGCAAUGCCUUCUCUUCGCCAUCCUUUCUGCCCUUGACUCUGCUUCAAAUCCCGGCCCCAACGUUGGAAACCCGCGACAUUCGUCAUCAAAACGCCCAUGGGCUCCCCGGACUCUCAGAGAAAUUGGGAAGGAAGCGCACCUCACCGCCUUCCACCACGGUGCUCUUCUCCGAGUCGGCCCCUGGAAGGACAGCAGAAGCAGGGGCC
Long non-coding RNA from Myotis davidii, 663 nucleotides. RefSeq lists it as uncharacterized. The record is from RefSeq and is a predicted model, not a curated record. Lineage: Eukaryota; Metazoa; Chordata; Mammalia; Chiroptera; Vespertilionidae. The transcript is spliced from 3 exons.